CCUGAGAAACGGCUACCACAUCUAAGGAAGGCAGCAGGCGCGCAAAUUACCCACUCCCGGCACGGGGAGGUAGUGACGAUAAAUAACGAUCCGGAACUCAAAUGAGUUUCCGUAAUCGGAAUGAGUACAAUUUAAAAGCGUUAGCAAGUAUCAAAUGGAGGGCAAGUCUGGUGCCAGCAGCCGCGGUAAUUCCAGCUCCAUUAGUAUAUAUUAAAGUUGUUGCGGUUAAAAAGCUCGUAGUCGAAUCUGUAUCUCAUCAUGUCAGUCGCUCGUAAUUUAAUUUAUGUAGUUUGAUUUGACAUUUUGUAUGAGAUAUAAAUACUGGUGGAUUUUUCAAAAUUGAAAUUUAUUUUUUUAUAUUUAUUUUAUUAUAAAUAUAAAUUAAAUGAUAAUUUUCAAUUUUAAAAUUCGAUAUAAUAAUUUUUAAUUAAAAAAGUUUAUUUUUUAAUUAAAAAAAUAUUUUUUUAAUAAUUGAUUUUUUUUUUAAAAAAAAACUUUUUUAUUAAAAAAAUUUUUUUUAUUUUAAAAAAUUUACUUAAAUUAAAAUUUAAUUAUAUUCUAAUAAAAUUAUUUUUUGUAAUUUUUAUUAGACCAGUAAAAUUACUUUGAAGAAAUUAGAGUGCUUAAAGCAGGCAAAUUUAUAUGCCUUGAAUAUAACAGCAUGGAAUAAUAGAAUAUGAUCUCGAUACUGUUUAAAAAAAGUUUUUUUUUUUUAUUUUAUAUAAAAAAAAAAUAAAAUUGGCUUAAAGAAAUAAAUAAAAAUUUUACUUAAAAUUUUUCACAAAAAAAAAUUAACAAAAUAAUUCAUGUAUUGUUGCAAUAAAAAAAAUUUUUUUUGUUAAAAAAAUUUUUUUUUUUCUUAAAAAAAAGAUUACAAAAAAACUAUUAAUAAUUUUUUUUUUUAUUAAAAAAAAAAAAAAUUAAUUAAUAGUAUAAAAAAUUUUUUUUUAAAAAUUUUUAUUAUAAUUAUUUUUUUUUUGCAUUCAAAAACAAUUAUGAAUAAUAAUUUUGUUAAAAAAAAAAUUUUUUUUUGUUUUUUUUUGUGUUUUAAAAAAAAUUUUAAGAAUUUAUUUCGACAGUAUGAUCGAGAUAAUGAUCAAUAGAGACGGAUGGGGGCAUUCGUACUACGAGGCUAGAGGUGAAAUUCUUGGACCGUCGUAAGACGAACUGAAGCGAAAGCGUUUGUCAAAAACGUUUUCAUUGAUCAAGAACGAAAGUUAGAGGUUCGAAGGCGAUCAGAUACCGCCCUAGUUCUAACCAUAAACGAUGCCGACCAGCGAUCCGUCGAUCUUCAUUCAAAUUGACUCGACGGGCAGCUUCCGGGAAACCAAAGUUUUUGGGUUCCGGGGGAAGUAUGGUUGCAAAGCUGAAACUUAAAGGAAUUGACGGAAGGGCACCACCAGGAGUGGAGCUUGCGGCUUAAUUUGACUCAACACGGGAAAUCUCACCAGGCCCGGACACCGAAAGGAUUGACAGAUUAAUAGCUCUUUCUUGAUUCGGUGGGUGGUGGUGCAUGGCCGUUCUUAGUUGGUGGAGCGAUUUGUCUGGUUAAUUCCGAUAACGAACGAGACUC
RNAcentral lists this ribosomal RNA (1573 nucleotides) under Xenos peckii. Its description in RNAcentral is "partial 18S ribosomal RNA". It matches the Rfam family "Eukaryotic small subunit ribosomal RNA", at positions 395 to 1343 of the family's 1831-position model. Lineage: Eukaryota; Metazoa; Arthropoda; Insecta; Strepsiptera; Xenidae. The record is from RNAcentral.